UUUAAAAAGAUUACUCUGGCUGCAGUGAAAAGAUUAGACUAUCAAUGUUCACUAGUUAUUUGUUGAAUAAGUAAAUACCAAAUGAAUACUUUUUUUGCACAAAUGAAUGAAUAAAUCUGUGAAUUCAAUAACACAAAAUAUGUCAAGGGCUGCAGCCCUAUGCUGGGCUUACAUGACACCUCACACCUCUUUUAUCUUACCUUGCUAUAUAACCUCCCAUCUGUCCCUUCCUGAGCCUCAGUUCCUCAUGGUAGGACAAUAAGGCCUUGAAGAUUACCGCUAGCUCUGGAAAUAAUUCAAUAACUCCUGCCAACCCCACCCCACUGCCAAGGCUCUCAGGCUGCAAACAGCUGAAGAGGAACGAUGAAUGCCUCUGCUCUGUUUAUCAUCCUUGCUUUGGCAUUUCGUCUGCAGCUGGAGCCCUCUCUAUAAGACCACUCAGUAGCUAGAAGCUGACUAAUUUCCAUGUUGAUUGCAAAGCUGGAAAUGUAUACACUUGUAAUUCUUAUUCUUGGCCCAAAUGCUUCUUGUCGGCAGUAUCUCUGACGAUGAGGCGCUGACACCACUCACUAGUUAUUGUCUGACGUGCUUGCUAUUGAUAUGAGUGGGUUUAGGAGGAUGCACAAUUUGAUAAUCAGACCCCAUCUGCAAAGCAAUCACGAGUCACAUUAUGGAGAAAAUGACUCAAGAACUAGAAUGAAAACUUGUUGCUUUUGCUGCUGGCCUCUCAUGCCUUCCUAUGCCACAAGAACUCUGAUUUUGAAGAACAUCCUUUACAUACCGUCUGCUGAGAUAACAGUAAAAAUGCCUUAUCUAGACCUGAGGAUACAGCCAUUUUGAAGGACAUGUGACCCAAACUUCAUAUCUGAGUCAAGCUUGAGACUUUGACAUGAACACCUGACAGAGAGGGCUUCUUACUUUCACUAAAUUCAAGACUGAUCAUAUGGCACGUAAAUCUGAUUCUUCCAGAACCCAUCUUGCCAGUAAGAGGGACCAGGGUUUUCCUGGAAAAAUGGAAUUGACAGAUGAAAAUAAAUGGAACUACUACAGAAGAUAGCAGAGUCAAGAAGUAGAGAGACUCUAGAUGCUAAGGAUGUCACUUGAACCCCUGGAUUCCACUGUGACUUUUCAUUGACUUUUCAGCUAUAUGAAAUAAUUUUCCUUAUUUGUUUAAAUACACUGAAGAGUAUGUAUACAUACACACACACACACACACAUAUAUAUAAUAUGCAUUAUUGUAUGUAAUAUACAAUAUAGAUGCAUUAUUAUAUAUUUAUUUAUUUACUUGCAGCUGAAAGAUGCCCAAAUCAAGUUGCUCUCAAUGCUGCCAUAUGCCCAAUUUAUUUCCAGUGAUGGGGAACUUAUUAUCACAUGUAAGUUUCAUCUUGACUUUUUAAAAAGCUAUAAUUAUUUAAAAUUUCCCUCUCUACUUUAUGCCCAUUGUUCCUGUUGCCUUAUUUGGAGUCAGACAGAGUAUGUCUGGUCCUUCACACAGGCCUAUAGAUAUUUCUUUUUUUUUUUUUUUUUUUGAGACGGAGUUUCACUCUUGUUGCCCAGGCUGGAGUGCAAUGGCGCGAUCUCGGCUCACCGCAACCUCUGCCUCCUGGGUUCAGGCAAUUCUCCUGCCUCAGCUUCCCGAGUAGCUGGAAUUACAGGCACGUGCCACCAUGCCCAGCUAAUUUUUUGUAUUUUUAGUAGAGACGGGGUUUCACCAUGUUGACCAGGAUGGUCUCGAUCUCUUGACCUCGUGAUCCACCCACCUCGGCUUCCCAAAGUGCUGGGAUGACAGGCUUGAGCCACCGCGCCCAGCCAGAUAUUUCAAUAUUACACUAUUACCUCUUCCUUAACUUGCCUAUCCCCUGCCCAAAGUUUCUUAUAUACUGAGACAUUCAAUCUAAACCUUAAGAUUGUCUCAUCUACAAAGUAUUUUAAUAAGUGUGUAUUAAAAUGACUAUUUUUGUUAUCCUGCAUAAUUGUUAGAAUUAAAAUCCAAUUAUCUUUAGAUGACUGCUCACAUGUUGAAUUUUUUUCUUUUUCCUUCUUUUACAGGAAAACUCCAAAACAGAUCAUAAAAUGAGGAAUGAUUAAUACAUUCCAUUUAUGCAGAAUAGUGCAAGCCCACAUACCCCAGAGAAACACGGAAACAGCUCUUAAACCUACUCACUUCAUUUUUCUUGAAAUGAGAACAGCUGUUAAGUGUCUCAUAAACAUCUCGGGCAAAACAUGAAAAAAUUACAAAGGAACCCUUUCAAAGCAGGAAGUAUAUGUUCCCAAAUCUUUGAAAAUUAAUCUGAGAGUAUGGUAAAGCCAAGUAAGCUCAUUAACAUAUGAGUUCCACAGAAGACAAGAGACUUUUCCAAAGUCAAAAAGAGGUUGUCAUAGAUCCCAGAUCUUUAGACCUUUGCCUUCUUUCUUCUUUGAGGCCAAUUUCACACACAGCAUAUAAUGAAUUACCAAAUAAAUGGUUCAGAUAUCAAGUGCAUUGGAUUUAGAGGAGGGAGAUAACCAUAAAUACGUGUUCUAAAUAAACUAAGAGGAAAUGAUAGGCAAUUUUAGAGCUUGGUCAAUGGCUGAGAUUUAGUCAGGAGCUUUAUCUCCAUUCUGUCUAAAUUCCUAAACAGUAAGAUGAGAUUCCAUGAACCAAGGGAAAUGCUAUUAGAGUCUCUAGUUACUUAAGUAUUCAUUCAAACAAAUAUUUACCAUUUUUAAGUACCAUAGACAAGACACUGUGUUAAAUACAUUGUGUGUAUUGCCAAGGCAGAAGGUGUGGAGGUGGGGUGGGAAAGAGAUAAUACCUUCUCUUGAGAAGUUUACAAAUUCUGAGGAAGUUCCCAAGAUACAUAUUUUUCAAUGUUCAGUAACAAUAAAUGCAGUGUUAUGUUGUAACUCAUCCUCUUAAGUCAUGGGGAAUUCUCUUUAUUCCUAAAAAAUAGAUGACACUGAACUUAAAUGUUUGGUAAGUACAUGUCUAUGUAAAAAGCUGAGAACCUUAGAUUGUGACCUUAAAUGUCUUAUCUUAUUCUCUCUUUAUUUUGUCAACUACUCAUCCUUUGAAAUUUAUUCCAAUUAUCUGCUUAUCUACAGAGCUUUCCUUAAAGUUUCCUCCACUGACAUGAAUGUUUUAAUGAGUCCUUUAGCAUAUUACUGGCAUUUUUCUUGAUGCUAAAGCAUAUGCUUUUUUUUUCUUUGCCUUUGGCUUUAUUUUUUAUUUUUGUUUUUUAUUAUACUUUAAGCUCUGGGAUACAUGUGCAGAAUGUGCAGGUUUGUUACAUAGGUAUACACGUGCCACGGUGGUUUGCUACAGCCAUCAACCCAUCAUCUACAUUAGGUAUUUCUCCUAAUGGUAUCCCUCCCCUAGAUCGCACCCGUCAAUAGGCCCUAGUGUGUGAUGUUCCCCUUCCUGUGUCCAUGUGUUCUCACUGUUCAACUCCCAGUUAGGAGUGAGAACCUGCCAUGUUUGUUUUUCUGUUCUUGUGUUAGUUUGCUGAGAAUGAUUGUUUCCAGCUUCAUCCAUGUCCCUGCAAAAGACAUGAACUCAUACUUUUUAUGGCUGCAUAGUAUUCCAUGGUGUAUAUGUGCCACAUUUUCUUAAUCCAGUCUAUCAUUGAUAGGCAUUUGAGUGGGUUCCAAGUCUUUGCUAUUGUGAACAAUGUUGCAAUAAACAUAUGUGUGUAUGUGUCUUUAUAGUAGAAUUAUUUAUAAUCCUUUGGAUAUCUACCCAGUAGUGGGAUUGCUGGGUCAAAUGGUUUUUCUGGUUCCAGAUCCUUGAGGAAUUUCCACACUGUCUUCCACAAUGGUGGAACCAAUUUAUACUCCCACCAUCAGUGUAGAAGCAUUCCUUUUCUCCAUAUCCUUUACAGCGUCUGUUGUUUCCUGACUUUUUAAUGAUCGCCCUUCUGACUGGCAUGAGAUGGUAUCUCAUUGUGGUUUUGAUUUGCAUUUCUCUAAUGACCAGUGAUGAUGAGCUUCUUUUCAUAUGUUUGUUGACCACAUAAAUGUCUUCUUUUGAGAAGUGUCUGUUCAUAUCCUUCACCCACUUUUUGAUGUUUCUUUUCGUUAUAAAUUUUUAAAGUUCCUUGCAGAUUCUGGAUAUUAACCCUUUGUCAGAUGGGUAGAUUACAAAAUUUUCUCUCAUUCUGAAGGUUGCCUGUUCACUCUGAUGAUAGUUUCUUUUGCUGUGCAGAAACUCUUUAGUUUAAUUAGACCCCAUUUCUCUAUUUUUGCUUUUGUCACCAUUGCUUUUGGUGUUUUAGUCAUGAAGUCUUUGCUCAUCCCUGAAUGGUAUUGCCUAGGUUUUGUUUUAGACAAAUGUCCUGAAUGGUAUUGCCUAUGGUUUUAGGUCUAACAUUUAAGUCUUUAAUCCAUCUUGAAUUAAUUUCUGUAUGAGGUGUAAGAAAGGGUCCAGUGCUUUUUAAUACAGUUACUCAACUGCUUUCUAUGUUAGGGCUUAUUUCCUCAGCUAGAUUGAGCACCUGGGCAAUAAACACCUUACAUUUCCUUAGUUCCUAGAACAACAUAAGUAUUCCAUACAUUUCAAGGGAAGAAAUUAAUAAAUGCCAUACUUUGAUUUUUCAUUGCCAAUUAAGUCUAUUCCACAGAACUUGUCCUCCUGGCCAUCUAAAUCCAGUCAUGAUUGCGUUAUUAGAAAAUAUAUCUUAAGGGCAGAUAUUAAUUUUUAUUUAAAUUUUACCAUAUUUCCCUAGUUGGGGCAACCUCCAUUGUUAACCUACUUCAUCCAGUACUAGCUGUGAAACGUCUGUGAAGAAAUAACAUUUGGUGGUAAGAUAUAAUUAGUCAUAAUGAUAUAAGAUUAUCUAUCAUUGAAGCACAAUAUCAUCCAAAGAAGCAUAAACUAAUAGAAGAACAGCCAUUGAAAACUACAGCCAAAUAAUCCCUUAUCUUACCUGAAAAUGCAAGAAAUUUAAUUAUCUGGUGUGAGUGGGGAGCAUGAGAGAUUUUCAUUGUUCUGAGUGAAUGUACGGAGUCCAUGCUUUGAAGAAUAUCUACUGAGUAAGCUUCGUCAACUAUAGAAGUGAUAGGCUAAGUUGCUGAAAGAAAGAACUAAGCUCUAAUGACCCUUAAUGGAACAUUAGUAGGCUACUAAUAAGUAGGAUUUAGAAGUAUACAUGCCAAUUAUGUGUACAUAUUAAUAUCAUUUAUGCUACUGCAUGACUUUCAACCAUAAAAAAAAAACAUCAAAGAACUUACGUGGCUGCUUAGUUCUUAUUAGAAAUACACUCUUAGAAGGUUAGAAGCCUAGCUAGAAUAUUUCCGCUUGGGCAGGG
RNAcentral lists this long non-coding RNA (5285 nucleotides) under Callithrix jacchus (white-tufted-ear marmoset). RNAcentral describes it as "lncRNA (ENSCJAG00000073016.1)". Lineage: Eukaryota; Metazoa; Chordata; Mammalia; Primates; Cebidae. The record is from RNAcentral.